RNAcentral lists this ribosomal RNA (492 nucleotides) under uncultured bacterium. RNAcentral describes it as "partial 16S ribosomal RNA". It matches the Rfam family "Bacterial small subunit ribosomal RNA", at positions 29 to 507 of the family's 1533-position model. The record is from RNAcentral.
AGUGAACGCUGGCGGUAGGCCUAACACAUGCAAGUCGAACGGCAGCACAGUAAGAGCUUGCUCUUACGGGUGGCGAGUGGCGGACGGGUGAGGAAUACAUCGGAAUCUACUUUUUCGUGGGGGAUAACGUAGGGAAACUUACGCUAAUACCGCAUACGACCUACGGGUGAAAGCAGGGGAUCUUCGGACCUUGCGCGAUUGAAUGAGCCGAUGUCGGAUUAGCUAGUUGGCGGGGUAAAGGCCCACCAAGGCGACGAUCCGUAGCUGGUCUGAGAGGGUGAUCAGCCACACUGGAACUGAGACACGGUCCAGACUCCUACGGGAGGCAGCAGUGGGGAAUAUUGGACAAUGGGCGCAAGCCUGAUCCAGCCAUACCGCGUGAGUGAAGAAGGCCUUCGGGUUGUAAAGCCCUUUUGUUGGGAAAGAAAAGCAGCAGGUUAAUACCCCGCUGUUCUGACGGUACCCAAAGAAUAAGCACCGGCUAACUUCGUG